Molecule: long non-coding RNA, 1532 nt
Organism: Onychostoma macrolepis
Lineage: Eukaryota; Metazoa; Chordata; Actinopteri; Cypriniformes; Cyprinidae
Exons: 3
Source: RefSeq, a predicted model, not a curated record
AGCAUUACAUCACUUUCCCACCAAGGGAUCCUGUACAGUGAAUGGGUGCCGUCGGAAGGAGAGUUCAAACAGCUGAUAAAAACAUCACAAUGAUCCACAAGCAGUCGCGUAGCUACGGGUGGGCCUGGGCACACCCACUUUCAUCUGUGGCCCACCCAAUGAGAAGUUUGUAAUUUUCCAAAUGGAUGUAAUUUAUUAAACGAUACUAAUAAACGUCUUAUUUCACUGUAACUUUAUUUAUUAACAAUAUUAAACGCUUGUUUUCAUGGUCAAUUACAGGUCGUUUUCCCUCUUCCUAUAGGUGCAUCAUAUGCUUGUCAAAAUGAUGAUUCGUCCGUUUCUGUUAGUCCCACCCACAAUGUUAUGUUUACGACGUACGGAUAUAAUAGUAAAAUACGCGCGUUUGUGAAGUUAAAUUUGAAAAUAGCCUAGUGAAGCAAACAUAAAUCAGAUCAAUUCUUUAAAAAAAAGUAAAAGUCUUAGCAAUAAAUCCGGACCGUCUACAAAUGAAACCCGACAGACCACCUGAGGGUGCUGAAUUUACCCAUCGGAAACUUCUGAACCAAGCGUGUUUGAAACAUCAUAUUAGCAUAGGUACAGUAUUUGAUCCGCUAAACAGAUGCGUCCUUUGUGGAAAGAAACACAAACAUUGUGCUAGAUCCUGGUCGCCACAACAAACUGCAUAUUUUGCAGCUGCGCACAUUUCUGCGGUCCUCGAUGCGCGUGAACUGACAGAGACGUUUGAUCAUGAAAUCAUCAGCGAAGCCCCGUUGUUUCACACUGAGCUGUUUAAACUCUCAUUCUGACGGCACCCAUUCACUGCAGAGAAUCCAUUGGUGAGUAAGUGAUGCAAUGCUAAAUUCCUCCAAAUGUGUUCUGAUGAAGAAACAAAUUCAUCUACAUCUUGGAUGGCCUGAGGAGACAGUAAAGGAGAUGACAGGAAAGGACAGGAGGGGGAGAACAGGAUCAAGUAUUUGCAUCACACAGAGGAAAUGCAUUUCACCAGAUUUAUGAGCUACUGUAACAACUGUUAGAUAAUAACAAUAAAACUCAAUGUUUAUUUGGAAUCCAAAUGAGUUGCACCAGUACCUCAGAACAUAUCUUAAAAGAUAAAAAUAUAAAGUCUUGGAGCCUAACAAGUAUUUGCAGGCCUUUUCAAAGCAGUCUUUCGGAAAGCUCUCUGCUCAUUUACGCUGCUGCUUUUCAAGGUCUUCGCUUUAUAAUAAAAGCAUGUUUUUCAGCCUCAAAUUAAACACAUUCAGAGUGCUCCAAGCUGAUAUACUGCAAAGGGCAUUACUAAUCUCUUGGUCCUUUUCAGCGGAUCAGUACAAAUGAGAAAAUUGUACCUAUAUAGACUUUUCAAGGCUAUGUUAGGUACAAAAACAAUUGCUUUGGAAGCAAACUAUUAUUUAACAUGGCUCCUAAAAGCAGUGACUAACUGUCCAAUUAAAUACCUUUUUUACAGUUGACUUUUCUGCUGACGUUUAUGCAUGCAAAACAUAAAAAAAUAGUCAAAUGAACAACAUAAAAGU